UUUUGCGCAAUGCUCGUAAGAGUGACGCAGCGACGCCGCGUGAAUGACGAAGGCCUUCGGGUCGUAAAGUUCUUUCGACAGGGAAGAAAAUGCCUAUAAGUAACUGUGUAUGUAUUGACGGUAACUGUAUACGCAGCCCCGGCUAACUCCGUGCCAGCAGACGCGGUAAGACGGAGGGGGCGAGCGUUGUUCGGAGUGACUGGGCGUCAAGAGGACGUAGGCGGGGUUGUAAGUCAUUAGUCAAAGACUAGAGCUCAACUUUAGUAAGGCUAGUGAUACUAUAAUACUAGAGUAUCAGAGAGGAUUGCAGAAUUCCUGGUGUAGCGGUGAAAUGCGUAGAUAUCAGGAGGAAUACCGUUAGCGAAGGCGGCAAUCUGGCUGGAAACUGACGCUGAGGUGCGAAAGCGUGGGUAGCAAACAGG
RNAcentral lists this ribosomal RNA (422 nucleotides) under uncultured bacterium. Its description in RNAcentral is "bacterial SSU rRNA". It matches the Rfam family "Bacterial small subunit ribosomal RNA", at positions 362 to 776 of the family's 1533-position model. The record is from RNAcentral.